Molecule: long non-coding RNA, 1151 nt
Filed under: Homo sapiens (human)
Lineage: Eukaryota; Metazoa; Chordata; Mammalia; Primates; Hominidae
Description: non-protein coding lnc-AKTIP-10:2
Source: RNAcentral
ACAGACCUUCCUCCUCCUGGAACAUCCAAGGGCACUGGAUCCUCUGUGUCCCUCUGAGAUGGGGUGCCACUCCAGCAAGAGCACCACGGUGGCAGCUGAGUCCCAGAAGCUUGAAGAAGAGCGCGAGGGAAGAGAGCCAGGUCUGGAGACCGGCACCCAGGCAGCAGACUGCAAGGAUGCCCCGCUGAAGGAUGGAACCCCUGAGCCAAAGAGCUGAAAUGCCUCUCUCCAGAGUCGGACCCUCACCUCCUUCCUGGAACUGCCUUUGGCCCCAGAACCAUGAGACAAUCCCCACCCUGAGAAGCUCCGAUCACUGGGAGGAGAGAGAAAGCCUCCAGCUUUGGGAUUCAGGCUUCAGAAGUUUUUAGCAGCCUUUGCUCAUUGGAGAGGUGGGGAGGAUAAGUCUAUAAGGAAUCCUAUUUCCCCAGCUCUCCCACAGAGAGGACAAAAGAAGUCUUCACACGUUGUGGAACUUUCCUGCAACUUCUGGAUGCAGACAAGCCUCAGAGCAGACUGUUCUGGCUCCAGUGAAUAUCGGCUGCCAAGCUGUGAGCAUCCAGGGAUCCCCGUCUGCCUGGCUUUCCUGAAGUCAGAAGGCGCCUUGGUCAUACUGUGUGGGGUGUGUGGAUCUCAGUUUGCUCUCUUUCUUUCUCCUUUUUUCAACAGCUGGCGGAGUAGCCAACACCCCUGACAGCAAUGUGUUGCACUUGGCUCACUCCACACCCUAUGAAUAAUUUUAAUAUUUAACUUGAAAUGUUGUUAAGAAACUAUGGAAAAUAUCAGGAUCCCACUGGGAUCCCGUAAAUUGAAGGCAACAAGGUCUUGGUCCUCCAGUAAGGGGGGCAUGGAGCCCUGGUGGGAAGGAAAGAAGAGAAAUUUGUGUUCCUGAUUCCUUAAUCCCCAAGAAAGGUCCCUCUGCUAACAUUCACAUAUCUCUUCCUAGCCAAAGUCUGUCCAUUUCAACCCUCUAGCAUCUGAGCUAUCUGCAUCCAGCUUUCAAAAAUAUUUCGCUGUUUACUAACAUGUCUGUCAGCCUCUCUUUUCUCCCCCGCAUGUGUUUUGUUUUUAAAUCCACUCAAAAGCGUUUUCAUUUGAAAUCAAAUAGACAUGUUUGCAAAUAAAUGUUGACACAACACAUUUGAAAGACAGAA